RNAcentral lists this transfer RNA (55 nucleotides) under Apis florea (little honeybee). RNAcentral's name for it is "tRNA-Glu". The record is from RNAcentral. Lineage: Eukaryota; Metazoa; Arthropoda; Insecta; Hymenoptera; Apidae.
AUUUAUAUAGUUUAAUAAAAACAUUAUAUUUUCAAUAUAAAAAUAAUUUAAAAUU